RNAcentral lists this ribosomal RNA (497 nucleotides) under uncultured bacterium. RNAcentral describes it as "bacterial SSU rRNA". It matches the Rfam family "Bacterial small subunit ribosomal RNA", at positions 903 to 1397 of the family's 1533-position model. The record is from RNAcentral.
AAAUGAAUAGACGGGGGCCCGCACAAGCGGUGGAGCAUGUGGUUUAAUUCGACGCAACGCGAAAAACCUUACCAGGGCUUGACAUCCUCUGGAUCAUAUGGAAACGUAUGAGUGCCUUUAGGGGAGCAGAGAGACAGGUGGUGCAUGGUUGUCGUCAGCUCGUGUCGUGAGAUGUUGGGUUAAGUCCCGCAACGAGCGCAACCCCUGUAUUUAGUUGCUAACGGGUAAAGCCGAGAACUCUAGAUAGACUGCCGGUGAUAAACCGGAGGAAGGUGGGGAUGACGUCAAAUCAUCAUGCCCCUUAUGUCCUGGGCUACACACGUGCUACAAUGGGCGGUACAGACGGAAGCGAAGCCGUGAGGUGGAGCAAAUCUGAGAAAGCCGUUCUCAGUUCGGAUUGCAGGCUGCAACUCGCCUGCAUGAAGUUGGAAUCGCUAGUAAUCGCGAAUCAGCAUGUCGCGGUGAAUACGUUCCCGGGCCUUGCACACACCGCCCGU